AGGACGAACGCUGGCGGCGUGCUUAACACAUGCAAGUCGAACGGUGAAGCCCUUCGGGGUGGAUCAGUGGCGAACGGGUGAGUAACACGUGAGCAAUCUGCCUUGACUCUGGGAUAACUUCGGGAAACCGGAGCUAAUACCGGAUAUGACAUACGGCCGCAUGGUCUGUGUGUGGAAAGAUUUAUCGGUCAGGGAUGAGCUCGCGGCCUAUCAGCUUGUUGGUGGGGUAAUGGCCCACCAAGGCGACGACGGGUA
Molecule: ribosomal RNA, 255 nt
Filed under: uncultured bacterium
Lineage: Bacteria
Description: partial small subunit ribosomal RNA
Rfam family: Bacterial small subunit ribosomal RNA
Source: RNAcentral